RNAcentral lists this ribosomal RNA (302 nucleotides) under uncultured bacterium. RNAcentral describes it as "partial 16S ribosomal RNA". It matches the Rfam family "Bacterial small subunit ribosomal RNA", at positions 508 to 807 of the family's 1533-position model. The record is from RNAcentral.
GCAGUCGCCGCGGGAAUACGAAGGGGGCUAGCGUUGUUCGGAAUCACUGGGCGUAAAGCGCACGUAGGCGGACUUUUAAGUCAGGGGUGAAAUCCCAAGGCUCAAACUCGGAACUGCCUUUGAUACUGGAGAUCUUGAGUUCGGAAGAGGUUGGUGGAACAGCUAGUGUAGAGGUGAAAUUCGUAGAUAUUAGCUAGAACACCAGUGGCGAAGGCGGCCAACUGGUCCGACACUGACGCUGAGGUGCGAAAGCGUGGGGAGCAAACAGGAUUAGAUACCCCUGUAGUCCCUGUCUCUUAUAC